This 483-nucleotide ribosomal RNA is filed under the name uncultured bacterium. Its description in RNAcentral is "partial 16S ribosomal RNA". It matches the Rfam family "Bacterial small subunit ribosomal RNA", at positions 28 to 523 of the family's 1533-position model. The record is from RNAcentral.
GACGAACGCUGGCGGCGUGCUUAACACAUGCAAGUCGAACGAUGAAGCCGGAGCUUGCUCCGGUGGAUUAGUGGCGAACGGGUGAGUAAUACGUGAGCAAUCUGCCCUUGACUCUGGGAUAACUGCGGGAAACUGUAGCUAAUACCGGAUACGACACCUUGGGGCAUCCCAGGGUGUGGAAAGAAUUUCGGUCAAGGAUGAGCUCGCGGCCUAUCAGCUAGUUGGUGAGGUAAUGGCUCACCAAGGCGACGACGGGUAGCCGGCCUGAGAGGGUGACCGGCCACACUGGAACUGAGACACGGUCCAGACUCCUACGGGAGGCAGCAGUGGGGAAUAUUGCACAAUGGGCGAAAGCCUGAUGCAGCGACGCCGCGUGAGGGAUGAAGGCCUUCGGGUUGUAAACCUCUUUUAGCAGGGAAGAAGCGAAAGUGACGGUACCUGCAGAAAAAGCACCGGCUAACUACGUGCCAGCCGCCGCAGUAA